GGGCUCACUUUAGCAGCACAUAUACUAAAAUUGGAAUGAUACAGAGAAGAUCAGCAUAGCCUCUACACAAGGAUCACACACAAAUUCAUAAAGUGUUCCAUAGUUAA
This 107-nucleotide small nuclear RNA is filed under the name Zalophus californianus (California sea lion). Lineage: Eukaryota; Metazoa; Chordata; Mammalia; Carnivora; Otariidae. The record is from RNAcentral.